CCUACGGGUGGCAGCAGUGAGGGAUAUUGGUCAAUGGGGGAAACCCUGAACCAGCAACGCCGCGUGAGGGAAGACGGUUUUCGGAUUGUAAACCUCUGUUCUUUGUGAAGUUAAUGACGGUAGCUGAGGAGCAAGCUCCGGCUAACUACGUGCCAGCAGCCGCGGUAAUACGUAGGGAGCGAGCGUUGUCCGGAUUUACUGGGUGUAAAGGGUGCGUAGGCGGGUAAGCAAGUCAGAAGUGAAAUCCAUGGGCUUAACCCAUGAACUGCUGUGGAAACUGUUGAUCUUGAGUGCAGUGGAGGCAGGCGGAAUUCGCGGUGUAGCGGUGAAAUGCGUAGAGAUGGGGAGGAACACCAGUGGCGAAGGCGGCCUACUG
Molecule: ribosomal RNA, 376 nt
Filed under: uncultured bacterium
Lineage: Bacteria
Description: partial 16S ribosomal RNA
Rfam family: Bacterial small subunit ribosomal RNA
Source: RNAcentral